This 169-nucleotide ribosomal RNA is filed under the name Bacillus subtilis subsp. subtilis. Its description in RNAcentral is "partial 16S ribosomal RNA". It matches the Rfam family "Bacterial small subunit ribosomal RNA", at positions 1 to 165 of the family's 1533-position model. Lineage: Bacteria; Bacillati; Bacillota; Bacilli; Caryophanales; Bacillaceae. The record is from RNAcentral.
UUUAUCGGAGAGUUUGAUCCUGGCUCAGGACGAACGCUGGCGGCGUGCCUAAUACAUGCAAGUCGAGCGAACAGAUGGGAGCUUGCUCCCUGAUGUUAGCGGCGGACGGGUGAGUAACACGUGGGUAACCUGCCUGUAAGACUGGGAUAACUCCGGGAAACCGGGGCUA